This 447-nucleotide ribosomal RNA is filed under the name uncultured bacterium. RNAcentral's name for it is "bacterial SSU rRNA". It matches the Rfam family "Bacterial small subunit ribosomal RNA", at positions 354 to 796 of the family's 1533-position model. The record is from RNAcentral.
GUCGAGAAUCUUCCGCAAUGGGCGAAAGCCUGACGGAGCGACACCGCGUACAGGAUGAAGGCCUUCGGGUUGUAAACUGUUGUCACGCUAUAGGAACCAUUCGUAGUUAAUAGCUGCGAGUCUGACUAAAGCGAGAGGAAGCACCGGCUAACUCUGUGCCAGCAGCCGCGGUAAGACAGAGGGUGCAAACGUUGUUCGGAAUCACUGGGCAUAAAGCGCACGUAGGCGGCCCACUAAGUCAGUUGUGAAAGCCCCCGGCUCAACCGGGGAAUGGCAUCUGAUACUGGUGGGCUCGAGGAAGGUAGGGGUGGGCGGAACUCCAGGUGGAGCGGUGAAAUGCGUAGAUAUCUGGAGGAACACCGGUGGCGAAAGCGGCCCACUGGACCUUCUCUGACGCUGAGGUGCGAAAGCUAGGGUAGCAAACGGGAUUAGAUACCCGAGUAGUCC